Molecule: ribosomal RNA, 446 nt
Filed under: uncultured bacterium
Lineage: Bacteria
Description: partial 16S ribosomal RNA
Rfam family: Bacterial small subunit ribosomal RNA
Source: RNAcentral
CCUACGGGUGGCAGCAGUCGAGAAUCAUUCACAAUGGGGGAAACCCUGAUGGUGCGACGCCGCGUGGGGGAAUGAAGGUCUUCGGAUUGUAAACCCCUGUCAUGUGGGAGCAAAUUAAAAAGAUAGUACCACAAGAGGAAGAGACGGCUAACUCUGUGCCAGCAGCAGCGGUAAUACAGAGGUCUCAAGCGUUGUUCGGAAUCACUGGGCGGAAAGCGUGCGUAGGCUGUUUCGUAAGUCGUGUGUGAAAGGCGCGGGCUCAACCCGCGGACGGCACAUGAUACUGCGAGACUAGAGUAAUGGAGGGGGAACCGGAAUUCUCGGUGUAGCAGUGAAAUGCGUAGAUAUCGAGAGGAACACUCGUGGCGAAGGCGGGUUCCUGGACAUUAACUGACGCUGAGGCACGAAGGCCAGGGGAGCGAAAGGGAUUAGAUACCCGAGUAGUC